CCUACGGGUGGCUGCAGUGAGGAAUAUUGGUCAAUGGACGAAAGUCUGAACCAGCCAUGCCGCGUGCAGGAAGACGGCUCUAUGAGUUGUAAACUGGUUUUGUACGAGGGUAAACGCAGAUACACGUAUCUGACGGCAAGUAUCGUACGAAUAAGGCUCGGCUAACUCCGCACCAGCAGCUGCGGUAAUACGGAGGAGUUAAGCGUUAUCCGGAUGUAUGGGGUUGAGAGGGUGCGUAGGGGGUCGGAUAAGUUAGAGGUGAAAUCCCGCGGCUCAACUUCGGAAUUGCUUCUGAUACUGUUCGGCUAGAGAGUAGUUGCGGUAGGCGGAAUGUAUGGUGUAGCGGUGAAAUGCUUAGAGAUCAUACAGAACACCGAUUGCGAAGGCAGCUUACCAAGCUACUUCUGACGUUGAGGCACGAAAGCGUGGGGAGCAAACAGGAUUAGAUACCCGGGUAGUC
RNAcentral lists this ribosomal RNA (460 nucleotides) under uncultured bacterium. RNAcentral's name for it is "partial 16S ribosomal RNA". It matches the Rfam family "Bacterial small subunit ribosomal RNA", at positions 338 to 795 of the family's 1533-position model. The record is from RNAcentral.